GACGAACGCUGGCGGCGUGCUUAACACAUGCAAGUCGAACGGAAAGGCCCCUUUUGGGGUACUCGAGUGGCGAACGGGUGAGUAACACGCGAGUAACCUGCCCUUGACUUCGGUAUAACUUCAGUAAACUGGGGCUAAUACCGGCUAGGAAUCCUUGCUGCAUGGUGGGGGUUGGAAAGCUUGUGCGGUUUUGGAUGGACUCGCGGCCUAUCAGCUUGUUUGUUGGGUAGUGGCUUACCAAGGCUUUGACGGGUAGCCGGCCUGGGAGGGCGAACGGCCACAUUGGGACUGAGAUACGGCCCAGAAUCCUACGGGGGGCAGGAGUGGGGGAUAUUGCACAAUGGGCGGAAGCCCGAUGCAGGCACGCCGGGUGCGGGAUGACGGCCUUCGGGUUGGAAACCGCUUUCAGCAGGGGAGAAGCUUGUGGUGACGGUACCUGCAGAAGAAGCACCGGCUAACUACGUG
RNAcentral lists this ribosomal RNA (465 nucleotides) under uncultured bacterium. RNAcentral's name for it is "partial 16S ribosomal RNA". It matches the Rfam family "Bacterial small subunit ribosomal RNA", at positions 28 to 507 of the family's 1533-position model. The record is from RNAcentral.